AUGGAGCGGAAGGCGGUGGUGGUGUGCGCGCUCGUCGGAUUCCUCGGCGUCCUCUCCGCCGCGCUCGGCUUCGCCGCCGAGGGCACCCGCGUCAAGGUUUCGGAUGUGCAAACAGAUUCUUCUCCAGGUGAAUGCAUAUACCCGAGAAGCCCGGCGUUAGGCCUUGGGUUGAUGUCUGCCGUCGCCCUUAUGGUCGCACAGGCCAUUAUCAAUACAGUUGCUGGUUGCAUCUGUUGUAAGAGGCAUCCGGUUCCCUCAGACACUAACUGGAGUGUGGCUCUGAUCUCAUUCAUCGUAUCUUGGGUCACGUUCAUAAUCGCAUUCCUCCUCCUGCUUACCGGAGCCGCACUGAACGACCAAAGGGGCCAGGAGAACAUGUACUUCGGCAGCUUCUGCUACGUCGUCAAGCCGGGGGUCUUCUCCGGCGGGGCGGUGCUCUCCCUCGCGAGCGUGGCCCUGGCCAUAGUCUACUACGUGGCCCUGACGUCUUCGAAAGGCCCGCCGAGCUGGGGCCCGCAGCAGAACCAGGGCAUCUCCAUGGGCCAGCCCGUGAUCCCGCAGCAGAGCAGCGAGCCGGUGUUCGUCCAUGAGGACACCUACAACCGGCAGCAGUUCCCAUGA
RNAcentral lists this ribosomal RNA (621 nucleotides) under Triticum aestivum (bread wheat). RNAcentral describes it as "partial small subunit ribosomal RNA". Lineage: Eukaryota; Viridiplantae; Streptophyta; Magnoliopsida; Poales; Poaceae. The record is from RNAcentral.